UCUUUCCUUGUCUUGGGGUGAGUGAGCUGCUCAAUGAACGUAUAGUGAGAGUAGCCCUGCUAACACCAUGAACAACACCUAUGCAUCACCUGAGCUUCAUGUUCAGAUAAUGGUGCAAUUUUUGGAAAC
This is a small nuclear RNA of Scomber japonicus (chub mackerel), 129 nucleotides long. RefSeq annotates it as U4atac minor spliceosomal RNA. The record is from RefSeq and is a predicted model, not a curated record. Lineage: Eukaryota; Metazoa; Chordata; Actinopteri; Scombriformes; Scombridae. The transcript has a single exon.